UACUUUUCCAUGCUUAAUGCUUGUCACUAGGUCCCGAGUGCCAUGAUUUCAGAUCUGAAUCUAUUAUGUUCUUGCCAAUAUAUGUGUGUUCUUGAUCCUAUCUUGCAAGUUGUAGUCACCUACUAUGUGUUAUGACCCGGCAACCCCGGAGUGACAAUAGCCGGAACCACUCCCGGAGAUGACCAUAGUAUGAGGAUUUCAUGUAUUCACUAAGUGUUACUGCGUUGGUCCGGUUCUUUAUUAAAAGGAGAACCUUAAUAUCCCGUAGUUUCCAUUAGGACCCUGCUGCCACGGGAGGGAUGGACAAUAUAUGUCAUGCAAGUUCUUUUCCCUAAGCACGUAUGACUACAUACGUAAUACAUGCCUACAUUACAUUGACGAACUGGAGCUAGUUACAUAUCU
Molecule: long non-coding RNA, 402 nt
Filed under: Hordeum vulgare
Lineage: Eukaryota; Viridiplantae; Streptophyta; Magnoliopsida; Poales; Poaceae
Description: long non-coding RNA (HVUL_LNC010521)
Source: RNAcentral